This 253-nucleotide ribosomal RNA is filed under the name uncultured bacterium. Its description in RNAcentral is "partial 16S ribosomal RNA". It matches the Rfam family "Bacterial small subunit ribosomal RNA", at positions 524 to 776 of the family's 1533-position model. The record is from RNAcentral.
UACGUAGGGGGCGAGCGUUGUCCGGAUUUAUUGGGCGUAAAGAGCGUGUAGGCGGCCAGGUAGGUCUGCUGUGAAAACUCGAGGCUCAACCUCGAGACGUCGGCGGAAACCAUCUGGCUAGAGUCCGGAAGAGGAGAGUGGAAUUCCCGGUGUAGCGGUGGAAUGCGUAGAGAUCGGGAAGAACAUCGGUGGCGAAGGCGGCCUGCUGGGCUGUUGCUGACACUGAGGCGCGACAGCGUGGGGAGCAAACAGG